Molecule: long non-coding RNA, 227 nt
Filed under: Elaeis guineensis (African oil palm)
Lineage: Eukaryota; Viridiplantae; Streptophyta; Magnoliopsida; Arecales; Arecaceae
Description: long non-coding RNA (EGUI_LNC037399)
Source: RNAcentral
CAAGAAUGGGAACCCAGGACUGGUGAUUAAGCCUCAUAACUCAUUUCACUGCUCAAAGGCAAACAUCCAUGGACCCCUUAAUUAAAACCUAUCACGUCAACUGUUCACAUGCCUACCUAAAACAAUCUUCAAUGGUUGAUUGCAUCACCUUUUCGACCCAGCAUGAUGCUUUGUCUGGUAUAAAAGCAUCAUGCUUACGUGGUAAGAAAAGAAGGUAUAGUGAUAGU